Molecule: long non-coding RNA, 2031 nt
Organism: Peromyscus californicus insignis
Lineage: Eukaryota; Metazoa; Chordata; Mammalia; Rodentia; Cricetidae
Exons: 2
Source: RefSeq, a predicted model, not a curated record
GGACAGAGGUCCCCAGAUGUGCAGGCCAUGUAAGCCAAUGCAUGGCAGAAGUGGAGGUCAGAGGACAGUUGGGGGAAUUGGCUGUUUUCUACCACCAUCUGGGUCAAGCUUGGCAGUAAACACCCUUCCCCACUGAGCCUGCUCAUGGCUUUUCUUUUGAUCCCAGGGUUACUGGGACUAUGAUGUUACACUUCUCAGAAAGCUCCUCAGUAUAGAAUCCUGUUAAUUCUUUAAAUGUUAGGAAGAAUUUUAAGCAAAUCCAUUUGUAUAUGAACACUUGGGGGAGGGGCUGGAGAGAUGUCUCAGAGGUUAAGAGCACUGCUUACUCUUCCAAAGGUCCUGAGUUCAAUUCCCAGCAACCUCACGGUGGCUCACAACCAUCUGUAAUGAGAUCUGGCGCCCUCUUCUGCCCUGCAGGGAUACGUGCAGGCAGAACACUAUACAUAAUAAAUCCAAAAAAAAAAAAAAUAGUUCCCACUUUAAAAAAUAAAUAAAUAAAAGAACAUUUGGGGGAAUUUAGAGAUUACAAGUGAAUUUCCUUAAGAAAAGUUUGGGGGUUAUUUUACAUCAAAUGAGUUAUUGGUCCAUUUCACCUAUGUUGUCAAAUUUAUGUAGUUGAGUGUAUCCAUAAUGUGAAAAUUUUAAAUUCUCCAAAAUUUAAAAAUGUUUGAGUAUCACCACAGUACCACAAAUAGGAAAUCCACAGCCAAUCUCCUCAGACAGGCCACAGUUGAACACAGUACAGUAACAAGACAGAAAUGAAUUUGUUUUUAGCUUGGGCCCUAAUCCCAAGCACGCUGUAUAAGUGUGUAUGACAAGUGUGUAAUGAAACAGUCUGGAAGCCCAAACGCCUCUUUGGGUAAGGGACGCUCAGCCUGGACAGACCUGGGGACAGCCCAGCCUGAGGGCCUGUUUCCAAAGUAACAGCAGUGUUGCCAUGAUGCUGCUGCCUUGUGUGCUUUUCAGUUUCACUCAUCUCUACCAUGGUCUGUCCCUUGAGUUUGGGCUUUAUUUUACUUUUUUCUGGCUUCUUGGAUUGAAAAAUUAAAUCACUGGGACCUUUUUCCAAUGCAAGCAUUGGUGUCAGAGUCUGCAGAGCGCUGUCUUAGUUCUCCCACACAGUGUGAUGUGAUUUUCAUUCAUUCACCUCCCUUUCACUCUCUUGAGAUCCCCUUGACUGCUCUUAUCUAGAAGCCUGCUCUUCAGUUUCCACGUGUAACCUUUCUAUUGCCAUCUUGAGCUGAAAGCCUGUAAUUCUCUAGUUGAGGUUAUUACUCAGUGGGGCUCUGGGACCUGUUCACAGUACGCUCACUGCAGGACGCAUCCUUCCCUCAGCUUCUGCCCAUGCGACUCUGACUGGGCAUCUCAGAGAAGUGGCAACCCCCUACAGAAGAAGACACUUGUCUUUGGGGGAAUGGCUUACUUCACUUAGCAUCAUGUCCUCAAGCUCAUCUUGAAGCAUGUGCCAGGAUUUUCUUCCUUCUGUUGGAACAACAUUCUCUAUGCGUGUAUGCAGCAUAUUGCAUUUAACCUACUGAUGCACAUUUGGGUUGUUUCCCUUUGGCUGUUGUGGAUUAAUGCUUUCAAUUUGGAUGAGCAUGGCUGUCUCACAUCCCCCUUUCAGGUUGGCUUGGUUCCAUUUUGUUGGUGGUGUUUUAUUUUUUUGUUUUUUUAACAUACCCAGCAACAGCAUUGCUGGACCGUGUACUGCAGUUUGUAAUGUUCUGAGGACCCACCAUGUUGCUUUCUGGGGUAGUGGAACCAUUUUCCAUCCCACCAGCAGUUCACAAGGGUUCCUGUUUUUCCAUGUUCCCCCAGCACUUCCUCUAAAGGAGAUCUCCACCACACAGGAUCCAGAGCUGAGAAUUCUCAGCCUUUGAUGAAGCAGUGUCUGCUCGAGUUUCCUGGCUGUUCUCACUUGCCACGAGUAAGCCAUCUCUGUUUUUGGGUCCUCCACUCUGCUUUAAGGCCGCCCACUGAACUGUGGUUUUAGUUUUCCGAACACUUGAAUAUACUGAAUCUAGUCACAGA